AAAUAGAACUUUGCAGAGAGAGUUAACAGGGCGUGAAACCGUUAAUUGGCAAACGAAUCGGAGCCACGAAGUCGUUUCGCUGGAGUUGGGCUAGGUUCAGCGGGCAUCGAGAGGUGCUCGUGUAUUUCUAGUUUGACCCAAUGUUUACGUACACUGCAACCAGUUGAACAAUUGGCGAUGGGCCCAGCUCCGGGUUAGUGGUGGUUCGCCGCCGAGCUCGUGUCGCGUGAACUAUCGGCCAAAUAUUGACUGGCAAAAGUAAAAUCGCCUCUGGCGUUUUAAAGAAAGCGCUGGUCACCUCGAGUGUUCACACAUUUGGCCAUGCGGUCUUAAGCUCAACAUUUUUGAAUUUAGACUUGCUUGCUACCAGUUGGGGCAACCCCUGGUGCUUGUAUAGCUUCUAUCUAAUCGGAUGUUGACUUGGUCGUGUGAUGUGCGGGUGUGCUACGUUGAGCGUUCGAGGUAGGUCAGUCGCAAUCGAUUGGCAGUGAGUAGGUCGGCUUUCCGAACGACCCGUCUUGAAACACGGACCAAGGAGUCUAAUUAGGUAUCGAGUCGAUCGGUCUUGAAUAGGCCAGAGAAGGCGAAGAGACAUGUGAUCACUGGGCAACAACAGCCCUAGUGCGCAACAUGUGCCUGUUCGUAUAGCAUUGUCUUGAAUGCUGGGCGGAGCAAAGAGAUACUUGAUUGGUACCCGAAAGAUGGUGAUGCCUGGGCAGGUUGAAGCCAGAGGAAACUCUGGUGGAGGGCCUAGCUGACGUGCAAAUCGAUCGUCAGACCUGGGUAUAGGGGCGAAAGACUAAUCGAACCAUC
RNAcentral lists this ribosomal RNA (813 nucleotides) under Rhyncaphytoptus sp. S116. RNAcentral's name for it is "partial large subunit ribosomal RNA". It matches the Rfam family "Eukaryotic large subunit ribosomal RNA", at positions 366 to 944 of the family's 3401-position model. Lineage: Eukaryota; Metazoa; Arthropoda; Arachnida; Trombidiformes; Diptilomiopidae. The record is from RNAcentral.